GGGGCCCGCGGAGCGGAGCCGGGCCUACCCCGUGCUGCGGAGACAGAACCUGGUGCUCACGGGGAGCAUCUUCAGUAUCCUGUUGAUCACCAUGAUCCUGAUGGCUGUAUGCGUCUACAAGCCCAUUCGACGACGGUAGCAGAGCGGGAAGAAUCGGAAUGGAUUGGUCACCUUGCUUGUGGAAAUUUUGCGAUCAAAUCCCUGGUGCUCGGAAAUGACCUGUGCUGUGCAGCAACUGUAAAUCCAGCCUGAUUUGUAAUCUGAGUUCUGGCUUGUAAACCGCUACGGUUGCUUAGUAAAGAGACUGUGAGAAGUAUUUUUUUUUUUUCCCUCUAACAUGUAAUGUAACCAGUUGUUUCCCUUGCAGAAGCAUGCCUACAACUGCUUGGCUGCUCUCAAAGACACCAUAGCUAGAAUCUGAAAAUCUCCUCCCAGAUCUCUAGCAAUUAGUAGCUCAACUGAGGUCUCUCUUCAAACAUGGAUGCCUAAAGUUAGACACUUAAAUAAAUGUGGCCUAAGUCUGGCAAAUUUUAUGUCAGUGACUAAUUCUAAGCACUCAUGUUUGAAAAUGUUAGCUGUGAACUUCAUUUAGUAUUUGGCCUAACUCUCAUAGGAAAAGCUAGGAAUAUGUGAAGUAUUUUACUUUGGUAUUGCCGACAGGAAGACACUACCACUUAGACUUGCUGUAUUUCUGAAUUCUGUUCACAAUUCCUGGGUGGGAAUAUGACAUGAGUAACCCUCAUGAUACUCCUUAAACACAGCCUCUAAGUGAUCCUAACAUGAAAACAAUGUACUUUAGAUAAUGUAGUUCAUGUGCCAUUUUUGGCAGCAAGGCUGAUUACAAUUUCAGCUGUUUCGAAUGUUGAAGUUUUCUCAGUCUAGUCUGUCAAAUACAAAGUGGCCUUAGUGUGGUGGUAUCAGAAACAGAGUUAAAUGGAAAGCUUAUAACUUUUGAUUUGUUUUAAAAAUCAUAAUUUUGCAAGCAGGCAAGUGCAUUGGAUUCUGAUGUAUUGAUUGGUUUUGCAGUCUUAAGGAAUUUAACUCUCCCCUCAAGCAUGAAGUCUAUUAGGUUUCUAGAGCGAGUCUUAUAAAAGUCAGUCAAAAGACGAGGGCUCUAGUCAUGAACUUGGCUUUGUAGGGCUGGUCUACGCACACAUUUGAACUGAAAUAAAAGUGUGAAUUAAAACUGAUUUCAUUAUUUUGGGGGCAUGUUAGUCUGUUACUGACUUUCGCUGCUUUUAUUCUGAAAUGAGUGUCUUACACUCAGACUUACCAAAAUAGCUAUAUUGGUUUUUGGAAUCCGGUCCAAGUUUUUUUUUGUAGACCAGACCCCAGGGCUGAACAAAUGUUCAUGUCCUUAACUGUGUAAUAGGUUUGGGCUCAGUAGAUAAAAUGACUAACAAUGUAAACUUCAGCCCCUUAGAUAUUUCCAAAAAAAAUCAGUCAGGAUUGAGAGCCUGCUUUAAUAAGAUUGAGGGACUGUCACUUUCAAAACCUUGUGGAAGCGUUCUGUGUUUAAGUUAUGUGCCUUGUACGUGAUAAGUGUUUACACUGGCAAAUCCCACUUGCAUUUAAUGCUGCUAUUUUAUUUUGCACUGGUAUAAGUGUUAGUU
This is a non-coding RNA of Chelonoidis abingdonii (Abingdon island giant tortoise), 1613 nucleotides long. Lineage: Eukaryota; Metazoa; Chordata; Testudines; Testudinidae. The record is from RefSeq and is a predicted model, not a curated record.